This 179-nucleotide non-coding RNA is filed under the name uncultured Eubacterium sp. RNAcentral's name for it is "Lysine riboswitch". It matches the Rfam family "Lysine riboswitch aptamer". Rfam says of the family: Riboswitches are metabolite binding domains within certain messenger RNAs that serve as precision sensors for their corresponding targets. Allosteric rearrangement of mRNA structure is mediated by ligand binding, and this results in modulation of gene expression. The record is from RNAcentral. Lineage: Bacteria; Bacillati; Bacillota; Clostridia; Eubacteriales; Eubacteriaceae.
ACAAGUAGAGGCGCGGCGAUCAUGAGUCGCAUGCCGGAGGCACUGACAGCCGUUGAGGGUAUGUAAAAGGGAAAGCCGCCGAAGUGAUCUUGCUCUGUCAGGGCGGGAUUGCUGGGUCUGCAGUGAACAGCUGCAGGACUGUCACCGGAAUGGGAUCAGAUCCGGUGGAGUGCUACUUC